UACGUAGGGCGCAAGCGUUGUCCGGAAUUAUUGGGCGUAAAGAGCUCGUAGGCGGUCUGUCACGUCUGCUGUGAAAACCCGGGGCUUAACCCCGGGCUUGCAGUGGAUACGGGCAGACUAGAGGCAGGUAGGGGAGAAUGGAAUUCCCGGUGUAGCGGUGAAAUGCGCAGAUAUCGGGAGGAACACCGGUGGCGAAGGCGGUUCUCUGGGCCGAUACUGACGCUGAGGAGCGAAAGCGUGGGGAGCGAACAGG
Molecule: ribosomal RNA, 253 nt
Filed under: uncultured bacterium
Lineage: Bacteria
Description: partial 16S ribosomal RNA
Rfam family: Bacterial small subunit ribosomal RNA
Source: RNAcentral